UGGGGAAUAUUUUNACAAUGGGCGAAAGCCUGAUCCAGCCAUGCCGCGUGUGUGAAGAAGGCCUUUUGGUUGUAAAGCACUUUAAGUGGGGAGGAAAAGCUUAUGGUUAAUACCCAUAAGCCCUGACGUUACCCACAGAAUAAGCACCGGCUAACUCUGUGCCAGCAGCCGCGGUAAUACAGAGGGUGCAAGCGUUAAUCGGAAUUACUGGGCGUAAAGCGCGCGUAGGUGGUUAUUUAAGUCAGAUGUGAAAGCCCCGGGCUUAACCUGGGAACUGCAUCUGAUACUGGAUAACUAGAGUAGGUGAGAGGGGAGUAGAAUUCCAGGUGUAGCGGCGAAAUGCGUAGAGAUCUGGAGGAAUACCGAUGGCGAAGGCAGCUCCCUGGCAUCAUACUGACACUGAGGUGCGAAAAGCGUGGGUAGCAAACAGGAUUANAUACCCUGNNNGUCCACGCCGUAAACNAUGUCUACCAGCCGUNGGGCUUUUUAAGACUUAGGGACGCAGUUACGCAUAAGUAAACCGCCUGGGGAGANNGGCCCANGGU
RNAcentral lists this ribosomal RNA (545 nucleotides) under uncultured bacterium. RNAcentral describes it as "bacterial SSU rRNA". It matches the Rfam family "Bacterial small subunit ribosomal RNA", at positions 355 to 894 of the family's 1533-position model. The record is from RNAcentral.